UCAUCACAGGGAGAAUGACGAAAAGGGAAUCAGGUGCAAAUCCUGAACAGACCCGCUGCUGUAAAUCCUAUAAGACUCUUUGAACACACCCCACGCCACUGUCUGACAUACAGAUGGGAAGGCUUUCAGAGACGGAUAAGUCAGAAGACCUGCCAGAAACAA
Molecule: non-coding RNA, 162 nt
Filed under: uncultured Bacteroides sp.
Lineage: Bacteria; Pseudomonadati; Bacteroidota; Bacteroidia; Bacteroidales; Bacteroidaceae
Source: RNAcentral